UAAAAAAAAUUAAAAGUCCACUUUUUUUUCUGGGGUAUUAAUAUGUUUCCAGCCUUGUGCUGAUGAUUAUCUUCCAGCACAACUGCUCUUUUACCAGUUACACGAGUUGAACCACUGAGCUGGUGGCUGCUUGGGGAGUGAAAAGAGCCCUUGCUCAAGUAUGUGAUAUCCUUGUAGAUAAAAAUCUCUUUAUUUCAUUUAACAAAUAUUUAUGGAACACCUAUUAUGCACAGGUAGUGUUCCAGGCACUGGGUAUACAAACGGGAACAAAACAGAUAAGGUUCUUGCUCUCAUGGAGUUGACAUUUUGAGAUGGGAGAAAACAGAAAAAAAAAAAUUUAGCUUUAUGGCAAGUGGUAACAAGUGUCAUGAAGAAAAAAUAAUAGACUAAAGGAGGGUGAACUGUUUUAUAUAAAGUGCUAUUUUACACCAGGGUCGGCAGCUCCGAUGAGGUGACUCUUGAACAAAAACUUGAAAGAAGUAAGAAAUCCCUGUGAUAUUUGGGGGCAAGCUUUUCCUGUAAGAGAGAACCGGAAAUGCAAGAGCCCUGAGGCAAGAGUGUAUUUGAGGUGCUUGACGACAGCGAAGAAACCUUUAAGGAAGGAAGCGGUGGAAACAGAGAGUAAAGGAGAUUGCAUCAGAGAGGUGGGAGGCAGAUCAUGUGGGGCCUUGCAGUCAGGGUAAGAGCGCUUUGGAUUUUAGUCUAAGUAAAAUGAGAAAACUUUAGAGGGUUUUGAGUAGGGAGGGAAAUGACAUGAUCUGACGUGUUUUAAAAAGUUUAUUCUGACUGUAUAAUAGCAAGUGUGGAAGCAGAGAGAAUUAGGAGAUAUCACUAAAAUUUUGGGAACAGGAGAUAGUGACUUCUUCCAGGAGAGUGGCAAUGGAUGUGGUGAGAAGUGACUGGAAUCUCAAUAUAUUUUGAAGAUGGAGCAAACAAGAUACAUUGAUGCAUUUGAUAUGGAGUACGAAAUAAAGAGCAGUUAAGAAAGACUCCACAGUGUGGGGCCUAAAGGUUGGAGACGUCAUUUCUGAGAUGAGGAAGAUGGCAGGAGGAGCUGGCUGGAGUGAUCCUACCCUCUCCAAGGACUGCUGGAAGGUUCUGAAGGGCAACGUAUGUCAAGCACAAAGAAGAGUACAGAGAGACUACAAGGGGAGUCAGGACAAGAGGAGGAGAGCGGACAGAGCCUGAAAAUUGUAAUGUCUCCCAACUUUAAAGAAAGUCCAAUUAUUCAUAAAGCUGAGCUGUGCAGAGGAUUACAUGCUGACCGACCAUAACAGCUGCUAGACACAAACUACGUUUUAUCAAAGUUACCAGAGGGAAGAGUAUCGAGGCCUUCUUCCUGCCCUUUCUUUUUGGCUGUUUAGAAGGAUGGUUUUAUAAACAGUUCCCCUUUUACAGUGAAGCAGCUCAUUCUUAUAGGGCUGGUAAACAGCAGUAGAGCACAAUUGAGCAAGACUGCCUCAGGACUGAGGGCAUAGGUAUCAGAGUUUUAAUCCCAGCUCUGUGCCUAAUUUGCUAUUUAGGUCAAGACUGCAGCAUGACUAACACUCCUUGUGGCAGCUUUACUGUCAAUACUAAUUCCUAAACAUCUGUUUAGCUACAGCCACUCAGAAGGGUCCAGCAUUCACAUAUUCGCAUUGACUAAUUCUCUCACCACAGAGUGAGGGCAGCGGGGAGGAACAAAGGAUAGAAAAUAACAUUUAUUUAUUUUUCCCAUUGGCCAGACCCUGUGAUAGUUUUUAUAUAAGUUAUCUAGACUGGAUUCUUGCCACCGUGCUAUAAAUAACUAAUGGGAAAGCUCGGACCAGUCCCUCCCUAACUCUAUUUUCUCUUCUGCAAAGUGAGGGUGUUAGAACUGAUAAUUUCUAUUGACCUGUCCAAUUCUAACAUUCUGUAGAUGUAAUGAUUCUCUUAAUCAGGUCACAUACAAUUUUAUUUCAUUUUCUGUUUUUGUUGCUGUUAGCCUUGACUACAGCAGGGUCUCCAAAUAGGGAAACUAUUGUUGUUAUUAGUUGCCCUUGAGUCAGCUCUGACUCAUAGUGACUUUGUCUAACAGAACUAAACAUUGCCCAGUUUUCACGAUUAUUGGCAUGUUUGAGUCCAUUGUUGUG
Trichechus manatus latirostris (Florida manatee) is the source of this 2111-nucleotide long non-coding RNA. RefSeq lists it as uncharacterized. The record is from RefSeq and is a predicted model, not a curated record. The transcript is spliced from 3 exons. NCBI's taxonomy places the organism in Eukaryota, Metazoa, Chordata, Mammalia, Sirenia, Trichechidae.